GACCCCUCCCCCGCACCGACGUGAUUCGGAUCGCGCGGUGCUGGCGCCGCCUUCAUGCGCCCUGCCUGGCCCCCACCUGGUCCUCUUUCCUUUUCAGGUGGAGGAGAUGCCGCUGUCCCGUCGGUCUGGGGACAGCCCAGCUCCCCGGAUCCCGGGCUGGAGAGACGCGUCGCGGCCCCGGGGCCUGGUGGCACGAGCAGGAAGGAGGACCCGGCGGCGGGCUCUGCCUGGGCUUGCCUGGGCUUGUUCCGAGCCGGGCUGCUUCUCGGUGACCACGCAGAUCGGGGGCAUUUGGAGAUUUUGCGGGAGUCCUGCAGCCAAGCUCCGGGGCAGGAGAGGCCUGGAAGCCUGCACUACCUGCUCGCCCCGUCCCAGCAUGCACCCAGGUGCUGGGGAGAGGCAGGACAGGCCUGUCCCCCGAGUCCCCUCCGGAUGCCGUGGACCGGCCAGCUGUGAGUGUUUCUUUGGCAGUGUCUUAGCUGGUUGUUGUGAGCAAUAGUAAGGAAGCAAUCAGCAAGUAUACUGCCCUAGAAGUGCUGCACGUUGUGGGGCCCAAGAGGGAAGAUGAAGCGAGAGAUGCCCAGACCAGUGGGAGACGCCAGGACUUCGGAAGCUCUUCUGCGCCACGGUGGGUGGUGAGGGCGGCUGGGAAAGUGAGCUCCAGGGCCCCAGGAGCAGCCUGCUCGUGGGUGCGGAAGGAAAAAGGCACAGGGGCUUGGUGUGGGCGGCUUUUGGCUGGGAGAAGUUUGCACGUAGGGAGAAUAGUAGCCAGUGUUUGCAGAGCACUUACUAUGCAGGAAGGCCUGUCCUAAGUAUUGUAAGUGUAUUACAUCAUGUACAAGUGUCUGUGAUUAACCCCGUCUUGCAGAGAAGGAAACAAAAGUACAAACAGAAAAUGUAACUAAGCAUGCAAUUAAUAAAAAGGGACCAGGUUUUGAACGCGAGCAAUCUGGCUCAAGAAUCUGCGCCCAACCACCGGCUCCUGUUCUUAGAGAUGAACGUGGAGUCCUGGAGACUGCUCAACAUUGUGACUUGACUGUGAGCGUACGCGCUCCCUGUCCCCAGGAGACAGAUUUCCAGUGCAAUCAUAGAAAGUGCCUGUGUGGGCUUCGGGAGAUGUGUCUGCCUUGGGGAGAAUUUUCCUUUUCAGCUAGAGCCAGGCCCAGGAUGUUGACGUCAGUGAGACGCUGGUGACGUUCUCUGCUCCAGUGGCUGAUGAGAAAAGUUCCUCCAAGCCAGCUCAGUUGAGAAGAAUUAAGUUCUCUGGGUCCCACUGGCUUCACCUACAGAUGCCAACUUUGAGGCCAGUGAACUGUGAGGCCAGCUGGGCUGAUUGCCAUGGCAACAGGAAUUGGACCAAAGUCACCGGAGGAUGGAGAGGGAAGACACAGUGGUGGCUUCCCCAGGUCUUGGACCACAAGGCACAGCCGUGGCCUCCAGGAACCCUGAGAUAACCCGUUAGUGGGUCCUGCACUCCAACAGAGCUCAUGCAAUCAGCCUCUGGUCCUCACCCUCCUCCCAUUGGUGUCGUUGUGCUCUCUAACAUUGACAUUGAGCAGUGAGUGCUCCAGAUCUUGUUCCACUGAUUUUUUCCACUGUUCUCCAGUCUAGCACUUUCUGAAAUUCAUCCAAGCCUAAGAGGUGACGCCAAACGUAAGUGUCUUACACCUCGGACCCCAUGGACUAAGACAAGCCUCUGGGGUCCAUGUGGCACCAAGGAUGGGGCCUUCUAGUACCUUUCACACAGGCCAGGGACAGCACCUGCUGCGACCCCCACCCCCAGCCUCUGCUGCUUCUCCCGUUGCCCUUCCAGCCACUGCCCUGGGCACCUCCCCUGCUCCCGCCUCCCUGCCUGGGCCCAUCUUUCUUUGCACCUCACCAAUUGCGGGGCUUCCUAGUGCUGGAGGGGAAGGGAGCCUGCUUCCAUUCUCACCACUCUGAAAGAAGACCCUGCAGAGAGGUUUUCUGGAAUUUGGAGCCUAACCUUGGCCUUGACACAGUCCAGAUGAGAAGGCCGUCCCCCAGUUAAGCCAGCCCUCCCUCCCUCUCAAUGCUGGAGAGGAAACCAGGCAGCUGGUUGCUUCAGCAAACCCCCUCCCUAUGGGAAUUGUCCUUUUCUUCCUCAAAUAGACUGGAGUGCAGAGGACUUGCUUCAGAGAGAGCCCCUUUGUAACGCACAUUGCACGGGCCGUGCCCCAUGCCCACUCUGCCACAAACUCCCCUCAGCUGCCCAGCCCCGUGGAGCCAGGCGUGGGCUGAAGUGGGGCCAAUGAAAUGCCUGGAAUGCCAGCCGCAGUGACAGGCCAGCACUCAGAUGCCUCUCGGGAGUUCUGACCGAAGCAGCACUGAGGACUGCUUCAGAGCAGAAGUCUACGCCAUUUUCCCCAGUUCUAGGCAGAAGUAAAGAAUGUCUCUACCUUCUCCCAACCAGCAAUUGAUUCAGAGUCCUGAGCUUUUAAAUUAAAGGGACCCCUCUGUUGCUUUAUGCAGUAGCCAGCUUAUUCAUUUGAGUUCAGGUGAAAUCAUUUUCAAGUAACCUCUUCCUAUCCAGCUUUACUUUUAGUUAUGCUGACAUAAAAACAAUAAAAAUUGUCCUCCUCAGAGUUCACCUGUAAAAGUUCCUGGAUAAUUAGUAAGGAAACAGAAAGAGCAGAUAGUUGUUGCUUCAGAUAAAAGUGAUGUCUGGGUUGGGCACGGUGGCGCAUGCCUGUAAUCCCAGCACUUGGGGAGGCCCAGGUGGAUGGAUCCCUUGAGCUCAGGAGUUUCAGACCAGCCUGGGCAACAUCUCUACAAAAAAUACAAAAAUUAGCCAGGCAUAGUGGCAGGACUGUAGUCCCAGCUACUCAGGAGGCUGAGGUCAGGGGAUGGCUUGAGCCCAGGAGGCACAGAUUGAAGUGAGCUGAGAUUGCGCCACUGUAUUCCAGCCUAGGUGACAGAGCCAGACCCUGUCUCAAAUUAAAAAAAACUCUUUGUGGUCAUUUAAUUUACUUCUGCAUUCUUUUUUUUUUUUUUUUGAAAUGGGCAGUGGUACCAUCUCAGCUCACUGCAACCUCUGCCUUGGGGGUUCAAGUGAUUCUCCUGCCUCAGCCUCCCGAGUAGCUGGGAUUACAGGCACCCGCCACCACGCCCAGCUAAUUUUUGUAUUUUUAGUAGAGACGGGGCUUUGCCAUGUUGACCAGGCUGGACUCAAACUCCUGACCUCAGGUGAUCCGCCCACCUCGGCCUCCCAAAGCACUGGGAUUACAGGAAUGAGCCACUGCACUCGGCCUACUUCUGCAUUCCUUAGAGUACAUCCUAGCUAGGAUAUAUUCACUUGUCUUUAGAGCUAACAGCAGAAGAAAGGUACCUAGAUGCUUAUCUAGCUCUUUAUCUUUCUAGAAAUUCUAGAAGAUGAGAGGGGCAGUGGUGGCUCCAAGGGAGUGAUUUUAGGAUGGACUGGGACAGAGAGGGGCUGCUUACACAUACUCACACAGAGGCCAUUAAUUUAGGGAGUUCAAGGUCCAGGAGGUUGACGGCAUCUAGGCCUGUGGCAGAGUGCACUCCUGCUUUGGGGAAUGUAUGGGCAGCUUCUUGCCUGUAGUUGGAGGGUUAGAGAGAGGGAUCAAUAAUUUCAUGGUUGGACUUGAGUUUGGAGCGAGUGGAGUUAGAUACAAAUUCUAUGUUUUUGGAGAAAGUAUUUGAUCUUCUUGGCUGUGAGGCAAAGCGAGGUUUAAAAAUAUUUUUCACUUAAAAAUAUAUAUAUAUGCAUGUAUAUUUAAUACUGUCUAUGGAUUGUGCCAAUAUCUAUUUCAUGGUUUUGAUAUUGUGUAGUUAUACAAGGAGUUACCACUGAACGAAACUGGGGGAAGGGUACACAGAAUCUCUGUACUUUUUUUGUUGUUGUUGCAAUUUCCUGUAAAUCUAUGAUUAUUUUAAAAUAAAAAAGUUAAAGCAUACGUAUUUACAUUUGAUUAAAUGCAGUGUGAUAUCCUGGGUUGGAUUUUGGAACAAAACAAGGCAUGAGUGAAAAAACUGGUAAAAUCCAAAAAAGCCUUUAGUUAAAAGUAAUACCAGUGUUAAUUUCUUAGUUUUGACAAAUGUGCCAUGGCUGUGUAAGAUGCAAAUGUUAGAGGAAACUGGGCGAAGAAUUUGAGGGAACUCUCUGUACUAUUCUUUGCAGCUUUUCUGUAAAUCUACAAUUAUUCCAAAAUAAAAGUCUAUUAAAAAUGUAA
RNAcentral lists this long non-coding RNA (4211 nucleotides) under Homo sapiens (human). Its description in RNAcentral is "MIR34A host gene". The stretch from base 459 to 535 matches the Rfam family "mir-34 microRNA precursor family". The record is from RNAcentral. Lineage: Eukaryota; Metazoa; Chordata; Mammalia; Primates; Hominidae.